AUGUUCUGUUCUUCCCCAGAGUGUAAAGGAGACUCAGUGACGCAGACAGAAAGAGAAGUUGUUGCUGCUGCAGGAGAAACUCGGACUCUGGGAUGUACCUUUGAAACCAGUGUUGGAGGUUAUACUGUGUUCUGGUAUAAACAAGAAGAAAACAGUUUCCCUAAGUUCAUGCUGAAGCAGCUGUCAUCAACAAAAGUUAAAGCUCCAGAGUUCGACAGCAACAGAUUCAAUGCAGAGAUCAACGACAAAUCCUUCAACCUGAAGAUCCAGGAUCUCAGUCUGUCAGACUCUGCUGUGUACUACUGCGCUUUGAGGCCCACAGUGACAGGAAACACCAGAACCCUGUGCAAAAACCUGCAGUACUCCACAGCGGCCACUAGAGGGCCUCACUCCUUGUUAAUCCACUAAAACCUGCAGUACUCCACAGCGGCCACUAGAGGGCCUCACUCCCUGUUAAUCACUGGUUGAGUAUUUGAACUGAAAACAAAGAGAUGAGACAUUGUGACUGAGUUUCGUCUCAACCAUCACCAUUAUCUGCUUUAGAUCAUGGAAACAGGACAGGAUGAAAACAAAAACAA
Molecule: non-coding RNA, 578 nt
Organism: Poecilia latipinna (sailfin molly)
Lineage: Eukaryota; Metazoa; Chordata; Actinopteri; Cyprinodontiformes; Poeciliidae
Source: the annotation of a RefSeq genome assembly